Molecule: ribosomal RNA, 147 nt
Filed under: uncultured Geobacter sp.
Lineage: Bacteria; Pseudomonadati; Thermodesulfobacteriota; Desulfuromonadia; Geobacterales; Geobacteraceae
Description: partial 16S ribosomal RNA
Rfam family: Bacterial small subunit ribosomal RNA
Source: RNAcentral
UGCAGUCGAACGUGAUCCGCCCUUCGGGGUGGUGAAAGUGGCGCACGGGUGAGUAACGCGUGGAUAAUCUGCCCGAGGAUUUGGGAUAACAUCUCGAAAGGGGUGCUAAUACCGAAUAAGCCCACGGGGUCUACGGAUCUUGCGGGA